This 263-nucleotide unclassified non-coding RNA is filed under the name Hevea brasiliensis (rubber tree). The record is from RNAcentral. Lineage: Eukaryota; Viridiplantae; Streptophyta; Magnoliopsida; Malpighiales; Euphorbiaceae.
CUCGAAGCAAACCCAGCUCGCAAGCCUUACCAAUCAUCAAACUUGGGGAUUCGGUAGCAACGACAAAAAGAAAUGGAGACAAGAGAUCACCUUGUCUCAGCCCAUUCCGCGUGGUGUAUUCCUCAGUGGGACUCCCAUUAAUCAAAUUUGAGAAUCGAGUGUUGGAGAGACAGGCAUUUUAUCCACAAUCACCACUUCCUGNNNGCUCCAUUACCCUUUCAAUAUGAUCCCAGCUGACCAUAUCAAAUGCGAUCUCAAAGUCG